This 972-nucleotide ribosomal RNA is filed under the name Triticum aestivum (bread wheat). RNAcentral describes it as "partial small subunit ribosomal RNA". Lineage: Eukaryota; Viridiplantae; Streptophyta; Magnoliopsida; Poales; Poaceae. The record is from RNAcentral.
AUGGCACCUGCUGCAAGCAUUGACCUCAACCUCAAGCGCGACAUCGACCACCUCGUCGGCGGCUCCACGACACCAACAUCGAAUCCUUCGGUUGUCAUCACUGCGGCGACCGCGACACAUCUGCGCAGCACCUCGUCCACGGCCAGUUGGGUCGCGGCCUUCGUGGGCGCAGCGACGGCGUCGAUCCCGCCCACCAUGUGCUCGACCGAGUGCCCUGGAGAAGAAAACAGUGAAACAAGGACCACGCCCACUUCUACAGCAGCGCCACCGGCAUCAUCCUCGACCAGUGCUAUUCCUGCUACGUGUGAGGUGAGCAUAGAGGUCAAUUCCAUGGCUCUGAUGGAUAUAACCAGUUCUUCUCCAGUCCUCACAAUGCUUACAACCACCCAAGCAUUGUCGCCUACCAAGUGUUCGACAGAAGGCCUGAAUGGCGAGACCAAUGUGGCUUGUCUCAAGUAUUUAGUCAGCUCACAUCACCAGUUGCAGCAGGACGUGUGGCUCGUCGAUUUCAAAACUGAAUUGAAGAAGAGCCGUGAGGAAUUAUUGUUGGCAGCCAGGAAGGAGAUGAACUCAGUAUCCUUGCUCACAAUCAGUAUCUUAUUUCAGUGUGUUACAGGUUAUGGGCUCUUGACAUUGUCGUGGGAUCCUGGACAGCGAGCAAUUGAUUCAUCUACAAUUAUGUGGGAUCGAGGAGGAGCUCUGUUAUUUGGCAAUGUGGACAUUCCAGUUGCACCCUUGGAGUGUUUCCAAUCAGUCCAGUCAGAGCUCCAACGGUUGUCUGAUUUGAAUCCCGUCGAGGUAGAAGUGAAGACAAGAGGAGUGCAACCACUUGUUGAAGUGAUAGCACUAAACUUAGCACUUGGAGGAAUUGCGAAAGGGUGCCAUAUAAUCACUCCGUGCAGCCAGCCACUGAAAAUUUUGGGGCCUCUCCUUGGCGUAUGUGUUAUGGUCCUGGAAGUUCUUUGCAAGUGA